Molecule: long non-coding RNA, 157 nt
Organism: Zea mays
Lineage: Eukaryota; Viridiplantae; Streptophyta; Magnoliopsida; Poales; Poaceae
Exons: 2
Source: RefSeq, a predicted model, not a curated record
UGGGCAUGAAGCCAUUGGGCUAUGAUGUGUGAGGUGCACAAAGCAAAAAAAAGGGGAGGGCCCCCCUCCAUUCCUCUAAUCUGGGAGGGACUACUAAUAUGGCUACAUGAUGGCCGGCCCCAUCAACCGAGCGUAGAGAAGCUUUGACAAAGAAAAA